AGAGUUUGAUCAUGGCUCAGGAUGAACGCUAGCGACAGGCCUAACACAUGCAAGUCGAGGGGUAACGAUGGUGCUUGCACCAGGCGACGACCGGCGCACGGGUGAGUAACGCGUAUGCAACCUGCCUUGUACAGGGGGAUAGCCCGGAGAAAUCCGGAUUAAUACCGCAUAAUGAUCAUUUUUCGCAUGGGAAAUGAUUUAAACCUUUUAGGGGUACAAGAUGGGCAUGCGUAGCAUUAGCUUGUUGGUGAGGUAACGGCUCACCAAGGCGAUGAUGCUUAGGGGGUCUGAGAGGAUAGUCCCCCACACUGGUACUGAGACACGGACCAGACUCCUACGGGAGGCAGCAGUGAGGAAUAUUGGUCAAUGGACGCAAGUCUGAACCAGCCAUGUCGCGUGCAGGAUGACGGCCCUAUGGGUUGUAAACUGCUUUUUUACGGGAAUAAACGCAUCUACGUGUAGGUGUUUGAAGGUACCGUAUGAAUAAGGAUCGGCUAACUCCGUGCCAGCAGCCGCGGUAAUACGGAGGAUUCGAGCGUUAUCCGGAUUUAUUGGGUUUAAAGGGUCCGUAGGCGGGCCUGUAAGUCAGUGGUGAAAUCCCGGAGCUCAACUCCGGAACUGCCAUUGAUACUGCAGGUCUUGAAUUUGGUUGAGGUGGGCGGAAUACGUUAUGUAGCGGUGAAAUGCAUAGAUAUAACGUAGAACACCGAUUGCGAAGGCAGCUCACUAAGCCAAUAUUGACGCUGAUGGACGAAAGCGUGGGGAGCGAACAGGAUUAGAUACCCUGGUAGUCCACGCCGUAAACGAUGAUUACUCGUUGUGCGCGAUACACAGUGCGCGACUGAGCGAAAGCAUUAAGUAAUCCACCUGGGGAGUACGUUGGCAACAAUGAAACUCAAAUGAAUUGACGG
RNAcentral lists this ribosomal RNA (911 nucleotides) under uncultured marine bacterium. RNAcentral's name for it is "bacterial SSU rRNA". It matches the Rfam family "Bacterial small subunit ribosomal RNA", at positions 8 to 916 of the family's 1533-position model. The record is from RNAcentral.